AAUGACGCAUGAGAUAUAAGCCCUUCCUCUCUUAUAUCGUUGCGGCUCCGAGGCCGCGCCACUUGAAUUUAAAGCGUCUUAGAUGUUU
RNAcentral lists this small RNA (88 nucleotides) under Metabacillus harenarius. RNAcentral describes it as "Bacillus weihaiensis BsrC". It matches the Rfam family "BsrC". From Rfam's summary of the family: The 301 nucleotide sequence from Kouji Nakamura has been trimmed to a highly conserved ~85 nucleotide long core to form this family. Lineage: Bacteria; Bacillati; Bacillota; Bacilli; Caryophanales; Bacillaceae. The record is from Rfam by way of RNAcentral.